Molecule: unclassified non-coding RNA, 230 nt
Filed under: plant metagenome
Description: partial contains small subunit ribosomal RNA and internal transcribed spacer 1
Source: RNAcentral
AAUGUCGUAACAAGGUCUCCGUAGGUGAACCUGCGGAGGGGAUCAUUUACAGGAGUUCAUGCCCCUAACCGGGGUUAGAUCUCCCCAACCCUAUGUUAUCAUUACCAUGUUGCUUUGGCGGGGCCGUCGGGCUCACGCUCGGCUACCGGCUCCGGCUGGUAAGCGCCCGCCAGAGGACCUCAAAGCCCUGAAUAUUCGUGUCGUCUGAGUACCAUAUAAUAGUUAAAAAC